UACGCACACUGUUAGAACUCAGAGAUAAGGUCGGUUCCUGGCUGAUGAACUCUUGAGCACAGGAAGUGUGCAACAUCAGUUUUGGCAGGAUUUUUCGCUAACGCCAUAAGGAUCUUUGAUCCAAUGAGUGGAGUUUGAUAGUGAUUCUUGCCACAUUU
Molecule: small nucleolar RNA, 158 nt
Organism: Anolis carolinensis (green anole)
Lineage: Eukaryota; Metazoa; Chordata; Lepidosauria; Squamata; Anolidae
Source: Ensembl